UAGAAGUGAGGUCUUUUCCCGUUAAAUCC
This 29-nucleotide non-coding RNA is filed under the name Mus musculus (house mouse). Lineage: Eukaryota; Metazoa; Chordata; Mammalia; Rodentia; Muridae. The record is from RNAcentral.